Molecule: ribosomal RNA, 468 nt
Filed under: uncultured bacterium
Lineage: Bacteria
Description: partial 16S ribosomal RNA
Rfam family: Bacterial small subunit ribosomal RNA
Source: RNAcentral
GACGAACGCUGGCGGCGUGCUUAACACAUGCAAGUCGAACGGAAAGGCCCUGCUUUUGUGGGGUGCUCGAGUGGCGAACGGGUGAGUAACACGUGAGUAACCUGCCCUUGACUUUGGGAUAACUUCAGGAAACUGGGGCUCAUACCGGAUAGGAGCUCCUGCUGCAUGGUGGGGGUUGGUAAGUUUCGGCGGUUGGGGGUGGACUCGCGGCUUAUCAGCUUGUUGGUGGGGUAGGGGCUUACCAAGGCUUUGACGGGUAGCCGGCCUGAGAGGGUGACCGGCCACAUUGGGACUGAGAUACGGCGCAGACUCCUACGGGAGGCAGCAGUGGGGAAUAUUGCACAAUGGGCGGAAGCCUGAUGCAGCAACGCCGCGUGCGGGAUGACGGCCUUCGGGUUGUAAACCGCUUUCGCCUGUGACGAAGCGUGAGUGACGGUAAUGGGUAAAGAAGCACCGGCUAACUACGUG